RNAcentral lists this ribosomal RNA (198 nucleotides) under uncultured bacterium. RNAcentral's name for it is "partial 16S ribosomal RNA". It matches the Rfam family "Bacterial small subunit ribosomal RNA", at positions 335 to 525 of the family's 1533-position model. The record is from RNAcentral.
ACUCCUACGGGAGGCAGCAGUGGGGAAUUUUGGACAAUGGGCGCAAGCCUGAUCCAGCAAUGCCGCGUGCAGGAAGAAGGCCUUCGGGUUGUAAACUGCUUUUGUCAGGGAAGAAAUCUUCUGGGUUAAUACCUCGGGAGGAUGACGGUACCUGAAGAAUAAGCACCGGCUAACUACGUGCCAGCAGCCGCGGUAAUA